RNAcentral lists this transfer RNA (86 nucleotides) under Rhodovulum sulfidophilum. RNAcentral describes it as "tRNA-Leu". It matches the Rfam family "tRNA". Rfam says of the family: Transfer RNA (tRNA) molecules are approximately 80 nucleotides in length. Their secondary structure includes four short double-helical elements and three loops (D, anti-codon, and T loops). Lineage: Bacteria; Pseudomonadati; Pseudomonadota; Alphaproteobacteria; Rhodobacterales; Paracoccaceae. The record is from RNAcentral. RNAcentral also lists the same sequence under 1 other name.
GCCCGGGUGGCGGAAUGGUAGACGCGCUGGCUUCAGGUGCCAGUGACUUAACGGUCGUGGAAGUUCGAGUCUUCUCCCGGGCACCA